GACUUUUUUUUCACUCUCUUCUCCCUUCUUCCCCCUCACCUCACGCCGGCACCGUUGGACCUCCGCGUCGUCGCUACCCUCUCUCCUCGCCCAAUCGCGGCUCGCGCCAUCCGCCGCCCUCUCUCCGCCCUAUUCGCGAAGCACCCACAGGCGACGAUGGCACGCGCCGUGCGCUCCCUCCCCUCCCGUUCGACCGCCUCGCAGUCGCAGGCGACGCCGGCGCAUGGCCGCGAGCCUUGCCGCCGCGGCCCCAUCGAUUUGCCGCCGCCACCAUUAACUUCACCCGCGGCGACCUCGGUACAAGUCCUCGAAAGAGCACUGAUGCUGAGGUCCUGCUACCAUGAUCGCGACCAAUCACAUAAUACAGCCAGGGAAAUCUGAAGAAAUCGAGCAUCAGUAUGGCAUCGCGCAGCAAAUUGGCUGGCAGCGGCGGCCGGUGGUGGUGCAAGGCUACAAGGCUUCCUACCUGCGCUGAAAAUUGAGAUGCUUGAUGGCGAGGAAGAAGAGGAAGGCGAAGAGGCCAAUGAUGGCGAGGUGGAGGCAGGUCACCAGCUCAAAGUAACGAUCCUGCAGGCCCAGGUACCCCUCUAGGAAGUCGCGCACCGUCUGCUCCCCGAGCCCCGGCACCAGGAUCUUCUCCGUCCGGUCUGCGAGCUGUGAGAACAUCAGCCCAUAAACUGUCCAUGCCGCCGGGUCGGCCCAGUACACCCACCGCCACCACACAGGCAUCAUCUGCAGCAGUUUUACUUCACUCAUCAGCCAGAGAAGACAUUCCAGAAGAUGAAGAUGAGGAACGACAGCCCCAUGGCAAUCUCAAUGUUGGGGGUCAGAGCCACCGUCAUCAUCCCGUACAGAGUGUAGUACAUGAAGCUCAUCACCAGGUAUAGGAAGAACCAGAAGAAUUUGCCCGCCGUCAGCUGGAAUCCGAUCAUCGGGUACACGAUCGAUGAGAAGAUCAGCACCUGCACCAACAUGUAAGGAACACCUGGUAUGGCCUGUUACAAAGUAAUUUUCAGUAUUUUCUUCUCUCUGCAUCUUAGAAAUAUAAAUGUCCAUCUCAGGUAAUCUUACCUCGAAAUACUUUAUCAUGUUGCUAGAUAGUGGACCUAGCGAACCAUUGUAUAUGAGCUGACCACCUCUUUUCAUAAGCAGAAGCUGCAAUUGGCCAAAUUGGAUUUGAAACUCAGAAUGGAAAAGUGUGGAGAUCACCAAAGCCAUAACAGUUAUCUGAAUGGUCUUGAAUAUAUGGACCGUUUGUCUUCUACUAGAAGAGGGAGAUAGGACGUGCGGAAGGAUUCUGCAAACUUUUCAAUUGUAUGGUACUGAUACUUAUUUUGAUCACCAGCCCAGUAUUGCUUUUGGUCCAUCUUAGAGGUUACCUGAUCAGUGGCCAGUUGGAGAGAACUUGUUACAUUAUUUUGCAAAAGCACGUGUAUUGCAGAAUAGUGACAUUUUACUUUCCUGCACAGAAUUGUAAGUCAUCUAUUGCCUGCUUAAUUUUGUGGAUCUGAUGUAUUAGUUAUCUCAAAGUUAUCCUUGAACACUAUACAUUUUUUUAUCAGUUGGCAUUACUGUUAUAUUUAGCUAUUACUUAAUCCUUAUAGGCAGUUAGGCACAUUUGACGGUUGAUUACCUCUUGAAGGAAAUCGGCUACAUUCUUUCUGUCAGGGCAUUUGAAUCCCAUAGUUUCAAAGAAGUCCGUAGCAUUUUCUCGAGGACCAUGAUACACAAUUUGCCCCUCACAUAAAAGUAUAAUGUCGUCAAAUAAUUCCAAUGUCUCGGGAGGUGGUUGCAGCAAGGAAAUAACCAUUGUGAGAUCCAUCAAAUGGGCCAUCUGUUGGAGAAACUUCAUGAUCUCAAAUGUCGUGGAGCUAUCUAGACCUGUUGAUAUAUCAUCCAUAAAGAAGCAUCUUGCUAGACCAACUAGCAUCUCCCCUGCAUUAAAUAACAUCACUUUAACGUAUGCCAACUUAGGUUAGGUUUCAGUUAAGUAUCUCCUUACUCUGUUCCUUAUUCUAAUAUUCUGGUUAGUUGCUUCCAUCCGACUUGACAGUUACAAGCAUUCUAUUUUAGAGCUAGUCAUGCUUCAUUAUCAUGAAGAUUCCUACCCUUGUAAGAACCUUUUGCAUUCUUAAGGUGGUGGAAUGUCAGUUAAUGUGGCUUUGUUUCAGAUUGAAGUGUGUGCUUCCAGUGGCAGCUACAUAAACCCUAUAGCUAUAUAUGUAUCAUUUUACCAUCAGCCUUGAUAAGAAUGCUUACCAACUGUGGCUCUUUUCUUUUGUCCUCCAGAUAUUCCUCUUCUCAUCUCGUCUCCUACUAGGGUAUCAGCACACUCGGACAGGCCAAGUAUCUGCAUAUAAUCAACUGUUACUAUUAUAUCAUCAAGAUAUACAGCAAAUCAAACAAGUUUAAGUUACCUUGAUAAUAUAGUUUGUUGUGAGGUUGCUUCCUUCUCCAAAGGUGGUGGCCUGAGAGAGGAGAUAUCUGAGUAUCUAAACAAAACAUAAUCCAGUCUUGCAAAAACAAAGUAUGGAGUAGUACAGAAGAACUACCUUAAUGAAUGAAUCAAGAUCUUGGUCCACUUUAUUGAUGACACCCUUUUUUCUUCUUAUUGCUUCUCCUAGCAUCUCUGAGUUUGUCAUUCCAUACAAAUAGGAAUUUUGUGUCAGUAUAGAUGCCAUGGAAAAAUUGAUUUAUCUUGAAUAUUAUGUAGAUUCUUCCUUCUCGAGUUCAAGUGUUUGCCUUGUUAUAAAUUGCAGCACAUUCCAGUGAUCUUCAAAAUGAAUAGCUCACUAUACGCAAGAGUAUGUCUUACCAAAUUCAUUAUUGGUUCCAAGCAUCUUGGAAGAGAAGUUGAUCGUCUCUCUUACUGUCAUCUCAGCAUGGUGAAGAUCAUACUGGCUAACAUAAGCACGCAGGGCAGGGGAAAGCAACAAGCCAAGAAGCACUGAAGCAGCAGACCAGCAGUGGUGGGUGGGGGUUAACCAUGGGCCGUGCCCCGCACCCCCCAAUCCAGUAGAACUUUUUUUAAAAGUACCCCAACACAUAUUGGAGUUGAAAUCAAUUCACCCAUUUUUUAUCACAAUGUUGUGAUUUUUUUCAUUAUAAAUACUAACUAUAUAUGUAAAAAAGUUGUUGAGACAAUAUAUUUAUCAUAUUUAGACGUGUCA
Long non-coding RNA from Sorghum bicolor (sorghum), 3170 nucleotides. RefSeq lists it as uncharacterized. The transcript has 8 exons. The record is from RefSeq and is a predicted model, not a curated record. Lineage: Eukaryota; Viridiplantae; Streptophyta; Magnoliopsida; Poales; Poaceae.